RNAcentral lists this ribosomal RNA (492 nucleotides) under uncultured bacterium. Its description in RNAcentral is "partial 16S ribosomal RNA". It matches the Rfam family "Bacterial small subunit ribosomal RNA", at positions 29 to 507 of the family's 1533-position model. The record is from RNAcentral.
AGUGAACGCUGGCGGUAGGCCUAACACAUGCAAGUCGAACGGCAGCACAGUAAGAGCUUGCUCUUACGGGUGGCGAGUGGCGGACGGGUGAGGAAUACAUCGGAAUCUACUUUUUCGUGGGGGAUAACGUAGGGAAACUUACGCUAAUACCGCAUACGACCUACGGGUGAAAGCAGGGGAUCUUCGGACCUUGCGCGAUUGAAUGAGCCGAUGUCGGAUUAGCUAGUUGGCGGGGUAAAGGCCCACCAAGGCGACGAUCCGUAGCUGGUCUGAGAGGAUGAUCAGCCACACUGGAACUGAGACACGGUCCAGACUCCUACGGGGGGCAGCAGUGGGGAAUAUUGGACAAUGGGCGCAAGCCUGAUCCAGCCAUACCGCGUGGGUGAAGGAGGCCUUCGGGUUGUAAAGCCCUUUUGUUGGGAAAGAAAAGCAGCAGGUUAAUACCCCGCUGUUCUGACGGUACCCAAAGAAUAAGCACCGGCUAACUUCGUG